GCUGGGCGCAGUGGCAUAUGCCUGUAAUCCCAGCACCUUGGGAGGCUGAGGCAGGAGGAUGGCAAGUUCAAAGUCAGCCUCAGCAAAAGCGAGGUGCUAAGCAACUCAGUGAGACCCUGUCUCUA
This 125-nucleotide small RNA is filed under the name Marmota monax (woodchuck). Lineage: Eukaryota; Metazoa; Chordata; Mammalia; Rodentia; Sciuridae. The record is from RNAcentral.